AUUCUUAGUACCCAUGGCAUAUCUACUUGAAGUGGGUCAUCAUUUUUACCAGUGUAGUCACGAAAUGAGCAGAUAAUGGACAUAGAACACACAGACUUCAUGUGUGGCUUUUGAUCUGACUUAUUUUAACUUCAGUUCAAGGACAGCUUUAACCUAACCUCCAAAUAGCACACAAAUCUCUCUUUUUGGCUAGAUUUAUGAGACAGGCGAAAGGCUUCUAGCUAUUCAAGAACAUCUUCUUUGGCUGGAUAUACUCGCAGUUAUUAAUUAAUCCAUGGAGACCCGACUCGUGCCAAGCGGCGAGGCUACCAUAUUGAGACACGAUCUCGCAUCUCGGACCGCACUGCUCUCGACAGUUUAGCGGCUCCGACCGACACAGCCAACAAUGUUGUGUAUGGGAUGUAGAUGAUGAUACCAGUUUGCCUCAACCUUGAGCAGAGCGACAACAACAUUUGCGUACACGUCGUACCCAGUGCGAGGUACGAGACUUACCAGUACCCUGAAGAGCACUUCUUGAACUCGUCGCUGGUAACUUUGUUAUUGCUGUCGCCACGAUAACGCGGAUGCGAAAAAAGUGAAUGUAUAAGCCACUCGAUGACGUUGCCCGAGAAGCAAAGAAGAUGCUGCCGCCGCCGCCUCCGGUACGUGACAGAACCAUUAACUUAACCAGCUUGUGACUUGUUACGCUCUGAACCUAAAUAAUAUUUUUGGACCUCUGCC
RNAcentral lists this long non-coding RNA (720 nucleotides) under Drosophila guanche. Lineage: Eukaryota; Metazoa; Arthropoda; Insecta; Diptera; Drosophilidae. The record is from RNAcentral.